GCUCAAAUUUGAAAUCUGGCACCUUCGGUGUCCGAGUUGUAAUUUGAAGAUUGUAACCUUGGGGUUGGCUCUUGUCUAUGUUUCUUGGAACAGGACGUCACAGAGGGUGAGAAUCCCGUGCGAUGAGAUGCCCAAUCCUAUGUAAGGUGCUUUCGAAGAGUCGAGUUGUUUGGGAAUGCAGCUCUAAGUGGGUGGUAAAUUCCAUCUAAAGCUAAAUAUUGGCGAGAGACCGAUAGCGAACAAGUACAGUGAUGGAAAGAUGAAAAGAACUUUGAAAAGAGAGUGAAAAAGUACGUGAAAUUGUUGAAAGGGAAGGGUUUGAGAUCAGACUCGAUAUUUUGUGAGCCUUGCCUUCGUGGCGGGGUGACCCGCAGCUUAUCGGGCCAGCAUCGGUUUGGGCGGUAGGAUAAUGGCGUAGGAAUGUGACUUUGCUUCGGUGAAGUGUUAUAGCCUGCGUUGAUGCUGCCUGCCUAGACCGAGGACUGCGAUUUUAUCAAGGAUGCUGGCAUAAUGAU
This 515-nucleotide ribosomal RNA is filed under the name Meyerozyma caribbica. Its description in RNAcentral is "eukaryotic LSU rRNA". It matches the Rfam family "Eukaryotic large subunit ribosomal RNA", at positions 107 to 638 of the family's 3401-position model. Lineage: Eukaryota; Fungi; Ascomycota; Pichiomycetes; Serinales; Debaryomycetaceae. The record is from RNAcentral.